CCUACGGGAGGCAGCAGUGGGGAAUAUUGCGCAAUGGGCGAAAGCCUGACGCAGCGACGCCGCGUGAGGGAUGAAGGUCUUCGGAUCGUAAACCUCUGUCAGCAGGGAAGAACGGUCACUGUGCUAAUCAGCAGUGAAUUGACGGUACCUGCAAAGGAAGCACCGGCUAACUCCGUGCCAGCAGCCGCGGUAAUACGGAGGGUGCGAGCGUUAAUCGGAAUUACUGGGCGUAAAGCGCUCGUAGGCGGUAUGUCAAGUCACGGGUGAAAUCCCCGCGCUCAACGUGGGAACUGCUUUUGAAACUGGCAAACUGGAGUGUGUGAGAGGAUAGUGGAAUUCCAGGUGUAGGAGUGAAAUGCGUAGAUAUCUGGAGGAACAUCAGUGGCGAAGGCGACUAUCUGGCACAUAACUGACGCUGAGGAGCGAAAGCGUGGGUAGCAAACAGGAUUAGAUACCCCAGUAGUC
RNAcentral lists this ribosomal RNA (465 nucleotides) under uncultured bacterium. Its description in RNAcentral is "partial 16S ribosomal RNA". It matches the Rfam family "Bacterial small subunit ribosomal RNA", at positions 338 to 795 of the family's 1533-position model. The record is from RNAcentral.